Molecule: ribosomal RNA, 359 nt
Filed under: Legionella pneumophila
Lineage: Bacteria; Pseudomonadati; Pseudomonadota; Gammaproteobacteria; Legionellales; Legionellaceae
Description: partial 23S ribosomal RNA
Rfam family: Bacterial large subunit ribosomal RNA
Source: RNAcentral
CUCACUGGUCGAGUCGGCCUGCGCGGAAGAUGUAACGGGGCUAAAACUAGUCACCGAAGCUGCGGAUGUGCGCGAAGGCGCACGUGGUAGGGGAGCGUUCUGUAGGCUGAUGAAGGUGCAUUGAGAAGUGUGCUGGAGGUAUCAGAAGUGCGAAUGCUGACAUGAGUAACGAUAAUGUGGGUGAAAAGCCCACACGCCGGAAGUCCCAGGUUUCCUGCACGACGUUAAUCGGAGCAGGGUGAGUCGGCCCCUAAGGCGAGGCUGAAGAGCGUAGUCGAUGGGAACCAGGUUAAUAUUCCUGGACUUUUUAUAAGUGGUGAAGUGGGGACGAAGAAGGCUAGGUGAGCCAGGCGUUGGUU